This is a long non-coding RNA of Vidua macroura (Pin-tailed whydah), 1774 nucleotides long. RefSeq lists it as uncharacterized. The transcript has 9 exons. The record is from RefSeq and is a predicted model, not a curated record. Lineage: Eukaryota; Metazoa; Chordata; Aves; Passeriformes; Viduidae.
AGCGGGGCCGUGAGGGCUCGCACAGCCCGCUCUGCCCGCGGGGCCCGGCACGGGCCGGGCACGGGGCCGCCUCGUGCGCGCGGGCUGCUGUGUCACGUGCCCGCGGGCGGUGGCGCGAGGCCGGCGAGGCGAGAAGCCCUGAGGGGAGCCCUCAGCCUCAGCCUCCCACAGCCAUCGUCCCAGGGCUCUUCCCGCCCGAGAGGAGCCGCUAUCUGCACUAUCAGCAUGCCAAGCACAGGACUACCAUAAUGGUUUUCCUAGGGGAUCUCCACCUUUCCUCCAAGUGAAUUAUGUUAUUUGGAGCCUCUGCAGGUGCUGCAUGCUAAGCCAGUGUCAGAGGACUCAAUACCAACUGAAAACAUCUUUCCUGAUUUGUAACUACCAACUCUAUGUUUGCCAUUGUGAAGAUGGAGAACCUGCAACUUUUCUGGUGUAAAAAUCUGUAAAAAUGCAGUGCUGGAGAAGAAAAAAAAAGUUACAUAAGCAGAAUCAACAUUGAUGGCCAUGCCAAGACGUUUCAUCUUGUUUCACACAUCUGUCCCACCUCUAUGUUAAAUGAAGCUAUUCCCAGACACCACCCAGCAUUUUCAUUUGGUUGAAGUUACAGCAGGUAUCUAGAGGUGGCAGAGGCUCAGACCAAGCUGACUCUCUCAAUAGUAACAAGGCAGGAUUCUAUGGAGAAGCAUGAAGAAUUAACAGCUUCACAGAUUCCUGUCUGUGAUACAUAUGGAAUGAGAGCAAAUGCAUUCUCCAGGAAAACAGCAGAUUUGAAGAACUGAAUACCUGCUGAUUUUGCUAUAAUAAGUGCUGCAGGGGAGAACUUCUUCAGACAAAUCCAUCUUUCAUCUUUACCUUCCAGUAUGAGACACAGGUAGUUCUAGAGCUGUGGUGGAAGACACGUAAAACAAACUGCCAUACUGGCAUUAAGAAACCUGGUGCAUCUCACAGCCAUUUUUCUGAAGAACUGAUGCCUCAAAAACUGAUAUUGAAAGGCAAAAUGACCAGCAGUGGACAGGAAGAAGGAAGGCUAUACCUAAGUCCCUCAACAAAGUUUUAUAUAAUACACUUCCACAUCAUUUCUCCCACUGUCCUUUCUCAUAGAACUGGCUAAAAACACAAGGAAGAAAAUCCAGAUCAAACAACAUGCUUUAAAAAAAAAAAGUGAAAUAGGAAAAAAGGGAAUCAAAAGCCUAUUUAUGUCACAAAAGCAAAAAGAUGCGGUGAUUAAGUACAUACAGGAAUCAGGUCAGUUAGUAAAAAGGGAAAAAUAAACUCCACUGGCAGCUUGGCUUUUUUCCCCCCCAGUUUGUAUUAACUGCAAAAGCUCCAAAAGAAAAAGUGACUGCAGACAGAAGAUACCACAAUUUGGGUCCAACACAUAAGAAAAAUCAAGAUCUUAAAAUCAAAGGCAAACCACUCAAGUGCACUCUAUGAAGUCUAUCUUAACAUGUGUCAUACAGACUUCCUGUGUGGAGCACUGACAUCUAAGCCAGCAUAUUUAGAACCUCUGAUAAAUGAGGGCAUCUAUUAUUAAGCUUUUGUCAGCAGGAAAUACUAAAAAAAAAUAAGUACAGCUGGUCCCUAAAGAUUUUUUUUUUUAAUGUCCACCAGAAGUCUCAAUAAUUUCACUGUAGGUGUCCUUUACAAACAGACAUCCCAAAUAUAAAUGCUGAAAGAAAAGAAUUUGGGGACCUUAAUUAUGUCCUGCUACAUGCAGAGAUCAAACUUGUAAUCCCCCCCAUCUGGGAAUUAAACUUAUUAAUAAAUAAAUUUG